RNAcentral lists this ribosomal RNA (287 nucleotides) under uncultured bacterium. RNAcentral describes it as "partial 16S ribosomal RNA". It matches the Rfam family "Bacterial small subunit ribosomal RNA", at positions 28 to 311 of the family's 1533-position model. The record is from RNAcentral.
GAUGAACGCUAGCGGCAGGCUUAAUACAUGCAAGUCGAGGGGCAACAGGGGUAGCAAUACCUGCUGGCGACCGGCAAACGGGUGCGGAACACGUACAGAACCUUCCUUUAAGUUGGAGAUAGCCCGGAGAAAUCCGGAUUAAUACCUAAUAGUAUUAUGGUGUGGCAUCACAUUAUAAUUAAAGCCUUGGCGCUUAGAGAUGGCUGUGCGUAUGAUUAGGUAGUUGGNGCGGGUAACGGCCCACCAAGCCUUCGAUCAUUAACUGGUGUGAGAGCACGACCAGUCAC